GGUGACUGACGGGUGAUUGACGGUUGCGUAACGGGUGGAAACGAGUGAUGACGGGUGAUGAUGGUUGGUGUUGGGUGAGAGUGGGUGAGAUGGAGUGAGAUGGAAGAGUUGGUAAGAUAGUGGGAUAGUGAG
This is a long non-coding RNA of Amblyraja radiata (thorny skate), 132 nucleotides long. RefSeq lists it as uncharacterized. The record is from RefSeq and is a predicted model, not a curated record. The transcript is spliced from 3 exons. Lineage: Eukaryota; Metazoa; Chordata; Chondrichthyes; Rajiformes; Rajidae.